RNAcentral lists this long non-coding RNA (1417 nucleotides) under Olea europaea subsp. europaea. The record is from RNAcentral. Lineage: Eukaryota; Viridiplantae; Streptophyta; Magnoliopsida; Lamiales; Oleaceae.
CUUUAUGUGGGUAUCAAUCGGUCCAAAGGAAGGUUAAUAUUUGGCUGAAUUACAUACACACCUAUGGUGGUAAAUGUGUGACAAUUAUAAGGUUUCCAUGUGAAUAAUAAAUCAAUCCAAAGAUGGUUUCAUUAUUUGACAGGAAUUAUUGUCAAUGUUUGAUCACUGUAUUGAGAAUACCACUAGCAAUUAAUAUUACUGUCCAAAGACUUGAUAUUAAUGUUGCACUAUGUAUCUUGAUAUGAGACUUACCAUUAUUUGAAUUUAUUUUUCAUUUAAUAUGGAUAUGAGCUUGAUUAUUUUUUCAUUUUGUUCUCUCUACAGCUAAUUCAUUUGCUACCACAAUAUCUACUAAUAUCGAUUCAAUUCUCAUGCUUAAUGGGACAAACUUCAAGGAUUGGAUGGAGAACGUAUUGAUUGUUCUUGGCUACAUGGAUUUUGACCUUGCACUUCGGAUUGAGCAACUCACUCCUCUUAUGGAAGAAAGUUCUCCUGAUAAAAGGAGAAACUUUGAGAAGUGGGAUUGUUUAAAUCGCAUGAGUCUAAUGAUCAUUAAGCGCGGCAUUUCGAAAGCCUUUAGAGGUGCAAUAUCCGAAGAGAUAGCUAAUGCUAAGGAGUUCCUUGCCGAAAUUGAGAAAUGUUUUGCGAAAAAUGAUAAGGCUGAAACAAGCAUGCUUUUGCAAAGCUUGAUUUCAAUGAAGUAUAAAGGCAAGGGGAACAUAAGGGAGUACAUCAUGGAGAUGUCUCACAUUGAUUCAAAACUUAAAGGGCUAAAGCUUGAGCUGUCUGAUGACUUGCUCGUGCAUUUGGCAUUGAUCUCGCUUCCUGCACAGUUCAGUCAAUUUAAGGCCAGUUAUAACUGUCAGAAGGAGAAAUUGUCUCUAAAUGAGCUCAUUUCAUAUUGUGUGCAAGAGGAAGAAAGGUUAAAGCAAGAUAGAAUUGAAGUUGCUAACUUGGCAAACACUUCUAAGGAUAAGGACAAGAAAAAGAUGAAGGAAUACGAAGCUGCUCCUAAGAGUCCAGCACAAAAGAAACAAAAAAAAAAAGAUAAAUGAACUUGUUUCUUUUGUAAUAAGGCUGGACAUGUGAAGAAUGUCUAUGCCAAAUAUCAUGCAUGGUGUGCAAAGAAAGGUACAAUUUUUACUUUGGUUUGUUCUGAGAAUAAUUUAGCUUCAGUACCUAGAAACACUUGGUGGAUGGAUUUUGGUGCUACUACUCACAUAAGUGUUUCUAUGCAGGGUUGCCCGAGCUACCGAAAAUCAAGUGAUGGUGAAAGAUAUAUCUAUGUGGGUGAUGGCAAAUCGGUGGAAGUUGAUGCAAUAUGCACUUUUAGGUUAUUAUUGGGAACUGGUUAUUAUUUGAAUUUGCAAGACACUUUUGUUGUGCCAUCUUUUAGACGGAAUUUAAUUUCUAUUUC